Molecule: transfer RNA, 72 nt
Filed under: Ovis aries (sheep)
Lineage: Eukaryota; Metazoa; Chordata; Mammalia; Artiodactyla; Bovidae
Rfam family: tRNA
About the family: Transfer RNA (tRNA) molecules are approximately 80 nucleotides in length. Their secondary structure includes four short double-helical elements and three loops (D, anti-codon, and T loops).
Source: Rfam by way of RNAcentral
UCCCUGGUGGCUCAGAGGUUAAAGCGUCUGCCUGCAAUGCAGGAGACACAGGUUCGAUCCCUGGGUCGGGAA